This 486-nucleotide ribosomal RNA is filed under the name uncultured Rhodococcus sp. Its description in RNAcentral is "bacterial SSU rRNA". It matches the Rfam family "Bacterial small subunit ribosomal RNA", at positions 397 to 894 of the family's 1533-position model. The record is from RNAcentral. Lineage: Bacteria; Bacillati; Actinomycetota; Actinomycetes; Mycobacteriales; Nocardiaceae.
CCGCGUGAGGGAUGACGGCCUUCGGGUUGUAAACCUCUUUCAGCAGGGACGAAGCGCAAGUGACGGUACCUGCAGAAGAAGCACCGGCUAACUACGUGCCAGCAGCCGCGGUAAUACGUAGGGUGCAAGCGUUGUCCGGAAUUACUGGGCGUAAAGAGUUCGUAGGCGGUUUGUCGCGUCGUUUGUGAAAACCAGCAGCUCAACUGCUGGCUUGCAGGCGAUACGGGCAGACUUGAGUACUGCAGGGGAGACUGGAAUUCCUGGUGUAGCGGUGAAAUGCGCAGAUAUCAGGAGGAACACCGGUGGCGAAGGCGGGUCUCUGGGCAGUAACUGACGCUGAGGAACGAAAGCGUGGGUAGCGAACAGGAUUAGAUACCCUGGUAGUCCACGCCGUAAACGGUGGGCGCUAGGUGUGGGUUCCUUCCACGGAAUCCGUGCCGUAGCUAACGCAUUAAGCGCCCCGCCUGGGGAGUACGGCCGCAAGGC